RNAcentral lists this ribosomal RNA (253 nucleotides) under uncultured bacterium. RNAcentral describes it as "partial 16S ribosomal RNA". It matches the Rfam family "Bacterial small subunit ribosomal RNA", at positions 524 to 776 of the family's 1533-position model. The record is from RNAcentral.
UACGGGGGGGGCAAGCGUUGUUCGGAAUUACUGGGCGUAAAGGGUUCGUAGGUGGCUUGCUAAGUCAGACGUGAAAUCCCUCAGCUUAACUGGGGAACUGCGUCUGAGACUGGCAAGCUUGAGUGCAGGAGAGGAACGCGGAAUUCCAGGUGUAGCGGUGAAAUGCGUAGAUAUCUGGAGGAACACCGGUGGCGAAGGCGGCGUUCUGGACUGCAACUGACACUGAAGAACGAAAGCCAGGGGAGCAAACGGG